AUACAGAAGAGGGGAGAGCAUCAGGGCCCACCAGGCCGCUGAUCACCGAAGGAGCAACCGCCCAGGAAACUCUCAGGUACCCGUACUCUUUUUUGUGA
Molecule: non-coding RNA, 98 nt
Filed under: Hyphomicrobiales bacterium
Lineage: Bacteria; Pseudomonadati; Pseudomonadota; Alphaproteobacteria; Hyphomicrobiales
Description: Rhizobiales bacterium Glycine sequence
Rfam family: Glycine riboswitch aptamer
About the family: This family represents the bacterial glycine riboswitch. Glycine riboswitches usually consist of two metabolite-binding aptamers domains with similar structures in tandem. The aptamers cooperatively bind glycine to regulate the expression of downstream genes.
Source: RNAcentral